Molecule: unclassified non-coding RNA, 294 nt
Organism: Cebus imitator (Panamanian white-faced capuchin)
Lineage: Eukaryota; Metazoa; Chordata; Mammalia; Primates; Cebidae
Source: Ensembl
AGAUGGUCCCCGAGCUCCGGGAGAGUCCUCAAUGAAAGGAUUCCGCGGCUCUGCCUCUAUUAUUAUACCGUAAAUCUUUUUAAAUUCUGGAACUAAUUAUAUAGAGGAUAUGUCUCAAUUUGUUCUGCAUUAAUGCCACAGUGGGGAUGGAGGCCAGGCUGUGGCCAGAGCAGAUACGCAGGCCCAUGAAAUUGAUGAACUGAGAGUUGCUUCCAGUCCUGAGCGCACCAUCUGGAAUUCCAGUCUGAGGUUACAAUUAGAACUCCUGACCCCAGAUUCAACUUUGCAAACAAC